Molecule: ribosomal RNA, 474 nt
Filed under: uncultured bacterium
Lineage: Bacteria
Description: bacterial SSU rRNA
Rfam family: Bacterial small subunit ribosomal RNA
Source: RNAcentral
CUCUCUGUGACUCCUACGGGAGGCAGCAGUGGGGAAUAUUGCACAAUGGGCGCAAGCCUGAUGCAGCCAUGCCGCGUGUGUGAAGAAGGCCUUCGGGUUGUAAAGCACUUUCAGUUGUGAGGAAGGUGGUGUCGUUAAUAGCGGCAUCAUUUGACGUUAGCAACAGAAGAAGCACCGGCUAACUCCGUGCCAGCAGCCGCGGUAAUACGGAGGGUGCGAGCGUUAAUCGGAAUUACUGGGCGUAAAGCGCAUGCAGGUGGUUUGUUAAGUCAGAUGUGAAAGCCCGGGGCUCAACCUCGGAACUGCAUUUGAAACUGGCAGACUAGAGUACUGUAGAGGGGGUAGAAUUUCAGGUGUAGCGGUGAAAUGCGUAGAGAUCUGAAGGAAUACCGGUGGCGAAGGCGGCCCCCUGGACAGAUACUGACACUCAGAUGCGAAAGCGUGGGGAGCAAACAGGAUUAGAUACCCUGGUAG